UGUAGACUUCUUAUAGUAAUGGGAAAAACCAACUUCACUGCUGCUAAGCAUAAGCAGCAGUCCGUGAUCUUAGUGGAUAUUGAGACUCCAGGUGUACGCAUAAAGAGGCCACUCAUGGUCUUUGGCUUUGAUGAUGCACCUCAUGGUCAUGCUGAAAUUUCAUUUGAAAAUGUAUGUGUGCCUGCAAAGAAUAUCCUAUUGGGAGAAGGACGUGGAUUUGAGAUUGCCCAGGGUAGACUGGGCCCAGGAAGAUUGCACCAUUGCAUGAGAUUGGUAGGUGCUGCUGAGCGUGGAAUGCAAUUGNCUCAGUAGAAGAGCAUUUGGUAAAUUGAUCGCUGAACAUGGUUCAUUUCGUUCAGAUAUUGCCAAGUGUCGAGUAGAGCUGGAGAAAACCAGAUUAUUGGUUUUGGAGGCAGCCAAUCAGCUUGAUCGGUUUGGGAAUAAAAAUGCCCGUGGAACUAUUGCAAUGGCCAAGGUAGCAGCUCCAAACAUGGCACUAAUGGUGCUGGACAUGGCAAUGCAAGUACAUGGUGCCGCUGGUCUAUCAUCUGACACCGUUUUAUCACAUCUUUGGGCUACAGCAAGAACAUUGAGAAUUGCAGAUGGUCCAGAUGAAGUCCACUUGGGAGCCAUUGCCAACUUGGAAUUAAAGAGAGCUAAACUCUGAAAGCUUUGGGG
RNAcentral lists this unclassified non-coding RNA (678 nucleotides) under Hevea brasiliensis (rubber tree). Lineage: Eukaryota; Viridiplantae; Streptophyta; Magnoliopsida; Malpighiales; Euphorbiaceae. The record is from RNAcentral.